GCCGGUGGAGCUCAGAUGGUAGAGCAGCUGACUUGUAAUCAGCAGGUCGUCCGUUCGAUCCGGAUCGCCGGCUCCA
RNAcentral lists this transfer RNA (76 nucleotides) under Synergistaceae bacterium. Its description in RNAcentral is "tRNA-Thr". It matches the Rfam family "tRNA". From Rfam's summary of the family: Transfer RNA (tRNA) molecules are approximately 80 nucleotides in length. Their secondary structure includes four short double-helical elements and three loops (D, anti-codon, and T loops). Lineage: Bacteria; Thermotogati; Synergistota; Synergistia; Synergistales; Synergistaceae. The record is from RNAcentral.